AUGGAACCUGCCUUAGAGGAAGAUGGAUAUACGGAUUGGACAGUACAUGUGGAAGAAACCUUCUCUGAAAAGAACUUCCAGGAGAGCCCCCAGAGACCCUCUUUGAGAGGGAGCCCCAGCCUCUCGGGAGCCUGCCUCUGGCUUAGCAUUCACACCAAAACCCCGGGUCCUGGGGCAAGGGACCGAAGAGUCCAGUGUGGUGGCAGCUUCACUUCAGUGCAGGUCGAGAGUUUGGCAUGGAUAUGAGAAGACUAAGGUCCUGAUGACUUGCCAGGAAUUGAAUGGGUGUAAGUCCAGAGGUAGCUCGUAUAAAUGCUCGGGAUUGGAAGGUGAACCUGACUAGGAAUCAGUGUCUCCUUCACUCCAUUGUCCAAAUGGGGGAAAUAAAAAUAUAAAUAGGUAGUUACCUAGUGACCAGAAUUAGUUUUCUUUAGUUCUUUGAUUCUAAAUGGCCAUAGCCAUACAAUACAUAUAUGUAUGUGUGUGUGUGUGUGUGUGUGUAUGUUUAAAGAUAUACAUGUUAUGAUAAAUACAUAUACCCUACAUAUAAUAAAUAUAUUUAUCAUGUAUAUACAUAUAUAUAAAUACCUGGGCAGGGAGUUCCUUGUUGUGACUCAGCAGGUUAAGGACCCAAGAUUGUCUCCAUGAAGAUGUGGGUUCGAUCCUUGGCCUUGCUCAGUGGGUUAAGGAUCCGGCACAAGGUGCCACAAAGUGGAGCGUAGAUCACAGACGCAACUGGUAUCUGGUGUUGCUGUGGCUGUGGUGUAGGUCGCAGCUGCAGCUCCAAUUUGACCUCUAGUCUGGGAAAAUGGCGCAGGUGUGGCCUUAAAAAGAAAAAAAUAGCUGAGCAAAGCUACCUCCACAGAAUAACAACUGGGAGGGCUACGCUGAUGACAGAAUCAGGACAGGACAACGAAAGCUGGACUGAGUAGCUAAAUUAAAUAGUAUCAAUUGAAGCUGCGUCAGCAGUGCAAUGUACCUGUCCCUGGGCUUCCAGGCUGGUGAAACUUGCUCUCUCGAGUGGGGAAGCGGGUGAGUUCUCCACUGCUCUGCGCUAGCCAUACCCCACCCGGGGGGACCAGUGUGUUCAAUUCUGGCUGCUACACUGGGCUGUCGGAUGGGAUAAUAUAUAUUGCAAAAUUUUCUGAGAGCGCUCAGGAACACCUAGAAGCAUCCAAAUGAGAAAAGGUUGAGAGAGGAGUGAACUGGCCUGGAGAUGACCAACCUUAGUGCACAGGGCUGCCUCAGAACACCGGGGGGGGGGGGGGUGAAGUCUGUGAGGCCCAGCUAGGAAUGGCCGCAAGGCGCAGUACAGAACAGCGAGAGCUUUCCAAAUAGAGGACAGCUUGCCCCACAUGACAGUGAUUUAUUCAUCCCUGGAGGUCCUCGAGCGGGCCAUCCACUUGUCUGGGACGCUGAAACGGGGAUUCAGAUGUCACCUGGAUGUGACCCUGAGAUCCAUGGCCCAUGACACUGUUCAGCAUGUGGAAAUAGUAGAGGGUCUGGUCUGGGGCGUUCAUCUAUAGCUUCUAGAUGACUAGAUACAGCGAUGCGUAUCUCUAAUGUGCGAUUCAGAAGGAAAUGUGGAAAACUUAGGCAGUGUACAUCUUUCACCCCAAAGGAAGGACACAGAGACAUCCUGUGACCUUCUCAGAUCCAAAG
RNAcentral lists this long non-coding RNA (1662 nucleotides) under Sus scrofa (pig). RNAcentral's name for it is "lncRNA (ENSSSCG00005012034.1)". The record is from RNAcentral. Lineage: Eukaryota; Metazoa; Chordata; Mammalia; Artiodactyla; Suidae.